ACUUUUUUGGACAGGUGGACAGCCGGCGCGUGGUAGGAAAGCUCUCUAGCCGUGGAGUGUGAUUUGUAUCAGCGUCUCCACGGUGGAGAACCAGUACCAACCCAUUCUUGACACGACCUGGACUCAAGACAGCGGACAACAUACUUUUUUGGACAGGUGGACAGCCGGCGCGUGGUAGGAAAGCUCUCUAGCCGUGGAGUGUGAUUUGUAUCAGCGUCUCCACGGUGGAGAACCAGUACCAACCCAUUCUUGACACGACCUGGACUCAAGACAGCGGACAACAUACUUUUUUGGACAGGUGGACAGCCGGCGCAUGGUAGGAAAGCUCUCUAGCCGUGGAGUGUGAUUUGUAUCAGCGUCUCCACGGUGGAGAACCAGUACCACCCCAUUCUUGACACCACCUGGACUCAAGACAGCGGACAACAUGUGAGCGCACAGCAGUGUGAAGAGCCCCAACCUUGCAGAGACCUCUGAUGCUUUUUUUACAACUUACAUUUGCUGUAACCAU
This is a long non-coding RNA of Bufo bufo (common toad), 508 nucleotides long. RefSeq lists it as uncharacterized. The record is from RefSeq and is a predicted model, not a curated record. The transcript has 6 exons. NCBI's taxonomy places the organism in Eukaryota, Metazoa, Chordata, Amphibia, Anura, Bufonidae.